CCUCCUUGCCAAGUCUUCCCUCCUUGCCCCCAUUUUUGGCACACUCUGCUUGCCUGACUUCCUCCUUCUGCCUGCCCCUUAAGAGAGGAUGUUCUCAAAGUUGCUGCCCUUUUCUUUGUGAUUUUUCCUAGGUCUCUGGCCCUGGGCCUGGCACACAGUUGAUACUUAAUGGAUGUUUAUGGAAUGAUUCACACUCAGUGAACACCUGUGGGCCUUGGGGAAGUAGACCUUGACGACAGGAAAGUUGAUCAGGAGAUCCCUGCCAUGAAGCAGUUUAGAGAUCUCUCAAGGACAACAGGACACCUGGAUCUUAUCUCCUUUCCCUCAUCCAUAGAAGGAUGUUAUUUAUAAGGUAUUUUAUUGAGGAGAGUCCUCUGGACAUACAGUCCCCAAAGGAGUUUCCCUCUUUAAGGAAGAAAGGAAAGUAUUUUCCUGGACACCAGAUAUGCUGAGUUGGGACACGAGCUAAAGAAAGAGGAACUCACUCUGUUGCCCAGGCUGGAAUGCAGUUGCUGAUCACCUGCAGCCUCCUGAGCAGCUAGGACUACAGCUCUUUAUGUUCCUGAAAACCUGGAACUCCUUCCUGUCUGACCCACUGCAGUGGUGGAGAGGAUCAGGGGAGGUAAUGCUCAUGGAUGUACUUAGGAGACAUAAGGUGGGCACAACCAUCAUGGAGCCAUCUCUGCUCUCCCCAUCCCUUCAGUGUGCAUAGUCCAUGCCACUCAGUCAUUCCUCACCCACUCUACAGAUUUUAUUGAGAAUUGCUGUGAGCUGGGCACUGUUCUAGGCACUGCAGACACCAUGGCUAGUGAAACAGGCAAAGACCUGCCAUCUACAGCUUGUUUGAGUAUGGAGCAGAGGGUCAGGGAGAAGGGAGAUAAACAAUAAACAAGUAAAUUUACACUCUUUUAUUCCGAAUCGUCUUUUCACUGGUCUUAACUCCAUGAGCGCAGUGACAGUGUCCUAUGUGUUUUCUAUUUGUUUAUUUGUGUUCUCCACC
Sapajus apella (tufted capuchin) is the source of this 1000-nucleotide long non-coding RNA. RefSeq lists it as uncharacterized. The transcript has 6 exons. The record is from RefSeq and is a predicted model, not a curated record. Lineage: Eukaryota; Metazoa; Chordata; Mammalia; Primates; Cebidae.